UACGGAGGGUGCAAGCGUUGUCCGGAUUUAUUGGGUUUAAAGGGUGCGUAGGCGGCCCAUUAAGUCAGCGGUGAAAUCCCACAGCUCAACUGUGGAACUGCCGUUGAUACUGGUGGGCUUGAGUAAUUAUGAAGUGGUUAGAAUAUGUAGUGUAGCGGUGAAAUGCAUAGAUACCACCAAGAACCCCGAUUGCGUAGGCAGCUCGCUAGGCUUUAACUGACGCUGAGGCACGAAAGCGUGGGGAGCGAACAGG
Molecule: unclassified non-coding RNA, 253 nt
Filed under: uncultured Hymenobacteraceae bacterium
Lineage: Bacteria; Pseudomonadati; Bacteroidota; Cytophagia; Cytophagales; Hymenobacteraceae
Description: contains 16S-23S intergenic spacer region
Rfam family: Bacterial small subunit ribosomal RNA
Source: RNAcentral